CAUGCAACCAUUCACUAUAUUCCAACUGUGUCCUCACAAACAUCCAUGAUCAACUCCUCCAGCUGAGAUGCCUAGAUCCUACUAUGCCUUAGCACCAGACAUCUUCAGAGUUGUAAUCAUUCUGGCUCCUUUCCAUCAUAAUGUCCACCCUCUCGUAGACCCAUCAAAACAGCUCCCCUGCAUCCACCAGGUUGUCCACAUGGACCAUGCCCUUCUCUAGUGUUGAUAGUCCAAAGAGUUACUCUAACUUGCUUUCUCAAAGGUCACCAUAUCCAGCGGCCUCUCUGUUCUUCAUAGCUCACUUAACUUUCCCAGCGCGUAUGACUACUUCCCACCUUGUUCCUCUGGCCAUUCUUCCACCCAUACUCCCAAAUGAGCCAUUCCUGAUUACAAUUACCCCUGGGGUAAUUGGGUGGUUAAGAAGCACAGAAGUGUUCUUUACAUUCAAGCCUUUAUGUUCAAGGCAAGCACCUGAUCUGGUGCCUCUCUAUGGCCCCUUCCCCCACUACUGUAACAAAGACUUGGUAACCAAUGACAGUCAAAAAGCAAUGAAGGAGGCUGGGGUUGUGUCUCAGUGGUAGAGCACUUGCCUAGCAUGUGAGGCACUGGGUUCAGUUCUCAGCACCACUUAAAAAUAAAUAAAUAAAUAAACAAAAGUCCAUCAACAUCUUAAAAGGGGGGGGGGGGCGCGCGCAACGAAGGAACCUUCAGGAUUAGUCAGGCUGUAGGGGAACAUCAUUGGGGGAUCUGAAAAUCACACCACAUGCAGCCAUGUGGCUGGCCCUGCUGGUGAUUGAGGUGGAGUUGCUGGUCCUUUUUCUGGUCAUUGAACUCAGCUCUUCUCUGGCUUGAUCUAUCACCUGGGUAAGGUUGCAGACAGCUGCAACACUGCAAAGAUGGG
Molecule: long non-coding RNA, 901 nt
Filed under: Marmota monax (woodchuck)
Lineage: Eukaryota; Metazoa; Chordata; Mammalia; Rodentia; Sciuridae
Source: RNAcentral